Molecule: non-coding RNA, 252 nt
Filed under: Galbibacter orientalis
Lineage: Bacteria; Pseudomonadati; Bacteroidota; Flavobacteriia; Flavobacteriales; Flavobacteriaceae
Source: RNAcentral
AUUUCGUGCCGAAUUUAUGGUUUUAAAUCUGUUGUCAACAGGUUUAAAUUAAAAGGGAAUACGGUGAAAAACCGUGGCUGUUCCCGCAACUGUAAGCUUUAUGCCAAAUUUGUUUUUGGUGUCUUUUAAAAAGGUAAGAUUAUUUUUUAAAAGUAUAGUAUUGACUACUAGAAACCACUGUUUCAAAUUGAAAUGGGAAGGUGAGAUACUAUAAAAGCAAGCCAGGAGACCUGCCAAAAUUCAAAUUUUAGU